GAAUGCAAAUUGCAACAAAAAAAUCCUAACUCUAAUAGAAUACUAAUUAAACUCUAAUUAGACCAUAACAAUGCUAAGUAAGAUUUAAUCAAAUUCAAAGAAAUCUCAAAGGAAUUACAAAGAAAUAAUAAGAAAACUUAAAGAAAUAUUAAAAUGAUCACAAAUAUAUCUCAAAUACAUCUCAAUUCAAUCUUAAUUUAAUCCUAGUUAAAAUCCUAUUGGAAUUCAUUCAAACUUUAGGCCAAAAACUAACUAAAUCUUAAAUCCUAACCAAAUCCUAAAUCAAACCCUAAUCAAACUCUAAAUCCUAAAUCAAACCCUUAUUAAAUCUUAAAUCCUAAUCAAACUCUAAAUUCUAAAUCAAAUCCUAAAUCCUAAACCAAAUCCUAACUAAAUCCUAAUCCUAAAUCAAACCUUAACCAAAUUCUAAUCUUAAAUCAAAUCCUAACCAAAUCCUAAAUCCUAAAUCAAAUCCUAACCAAACCCUAAUAAUUUCUACAAAAAAUUUAAACCUCAAUAAGUAAUGAAUAAA
RNAcentral lists this long non-coding RNA (532 nucleotides) under Physcomitrium patens. Its description in RNAcentral is "long non-coding RNA (PPAT_LNC003454)". Lineage: Eukaryota; Viridiplantae; Streptophyta; Bryopsida; Funariales; Funariaceae. The record is from RNAcentral.